CUACAUCUCUUCCAGAAAGAGAAGGUCAAGAGUACUCUCGGCUCAGAGACGACAUCACCAGAGGCAAGAAAACCAUGAGGGAGAUAUCCAGUUCGUUGAGGGACGUUGCAACGAAGCCUUGGAAGACCGAGAACAAAAAAAUCUCAAUGGAAGAGUACUGUGAGCUCUUUAGGCGGCAUAACUUCGUCGGGACUAGGUACCCGCAUCCAGAGACGAUGGUGGAGCUCGGUAUCUUCGAUGACAUCGAGUAUCUCUGUGAGCAGGCCAGUCUGUUCACUCUCAUGAACCGUCCCUACAGCGCCUACAAGGAGGAAACAAUCCAGUU
RNAcentral lists this long non-coding RNA (325 nucleotides) under Arabidopsis lyrata. Its description in RNAcentral is "long non-coding RNA (ALYR_LNC001363)". Lineage: Eukaryota; Viridiplantae; Streptophyta; Magnoliopsida; Brassicales; Brassicaceae. The record is from RNAcentral.